GAUGAGCUGGCGGAGUGGUGAAGGCGAUAGACUGCUAAUCUAUUGUGCUCUGCAUGCAUGGGUUCAAAUCCCAUCCUCAUUG
Molecule: non-coding RNA, 82 nt
Organism: Takifugu rubripes (torafugu)
Lineage: Eukaryota; Metazoa; Chordata; Actinopteri; Tetraodontiformes; Tetraodontidae
Source: Rfam